This 376-nucleotide ribosomal RNA is filed under the name Choreotrichia sp. Its description in RNAcentral is "SSU rRNA". It matches the Rfam family "Eukaryotic small subunit ribosomal RNA", at positions 585 to 972 of the family's 1831-position model. RNAcentral also lists the same sequence under 1 other name. The record is from RNAcentral. Lineage: Eukaryota; Ciliophora; Spirotrichea.
CCAGCUCCAAUAGCGUAUAUUAAAGUUGUUGCAGUUAAAAAGCUCGUAGUUGGAUUUCUGGCAGGGUGACUUUGCCCUCAAGUUGAGUGCGCUGAGCCGCCCUACCAUCCUUCUGUUAACCCUUCAGAGCUUAAUAACUUUGUUGGGGGCUCAGAUAUUUUACCUUGAGAAAAUUAGAGUGUUUCAGGCAGGCUAGCGCCGGAAUACAUUAGCAUGGAAUAAUAGAAUAGGACUUUUACCUCUUCUGUUGGUCUGAGGGGUUCAAGUAAUGAUUAAUAGGGAUAGUUGGGGGCAUUAGUACUUAACUGUCAGAGGUGAAAUUCUCGGAUUUGUUAAAGACUAACUUAUGCGAAAGCAUUUGCCAAGGAUGUUUUCA